AACGAACGCUGGCGGCAUGCCUAACACAUGCAAGUCGAACGAGACCUUCGGGUCUAGUGGCGCACGGGUGCGUAACGCGUGGGAAUCUACCCUCAGGUUCGGAAUAACUCAGAGAAAUUUGAGCUAAUACCGGAUGAUGACGUAAGUCCAAAGAUUUAUCGCCUGAGGAUGAGCCCGCGUAGGAUUAGGUAGUUGGUGAGGUAAAGGCUCACCAAGCCGACGAUCCUUAGCUGGUCUGAGAGGAUGAUCAGCCACACUGGGACUGAGACACGGCCCAGACUCCUACGGGAGGCAGCAGUGGGGAAUAUUGGACAAUGGGCGAAAGCCUGAUACAGCAAUGCCGCGUGAGUGAUGAAGGCCUUAGGGUUGUAAAGCUCUUUUACCCGGGAUGAUAAUGACAGUACCGGGAGAAUAAGCUCCGGCUAACUCCGUG
RNAcentral lists this ribosomal RNA (433 nucleotides) under uncultured bacterium. RNAcentral describes it as "partial 16S ribosomal RNA". It matches the Rfam family "Bacterial small subunit ribosomal RNA", at positions 29 to 507 of the family's 1533-position model. The record is from RNAcentral.